This 252-nucleotide ribosomal RNA is filed under the name Patescibacteria group bacterium. RNAcentral describes it as "partial 23S ribosomal RNA". It matches the Rfam family "Bacterial large subunit ribosomal RNA", at positions 1 to 260 of the family's 2925-position model. The record is from RNAcentral.
UCGGGACGAAACAAGAGCAAAUGGUGGAUGCCUAGACAUCAAAAGACUAUGAAGGACGUAGCAGCCUGCGAUAAGCUUCGGAGAGGUGGCAAGCAACCUUUGACCCGGAGAUUUCCGAAUGGGGAAACCCACGAGAGUAAACCUCUCGGAUCCUAUCGUAAGAUGGGAUGGUAAGCCAGGGAACUGAAACAUCUAAGUACCUGGAGGAAAAUAGAACAAAUGUUUAUUCCCUUAGUAGCGGCGAGCGAAACG